Molecule: long non-coding RNA, 489 nt
Filed under: Vulpes vulpes (red fox)
Lineage: Eukaryota; Metazoa; Chordata; Mammalia; Carnivora; Canidae
Description: lncRNA (ENSVVUG00000024776.1)
Source: RNAcentral
GUAACUCAGGAGGCUUAGGAGAAAUGAGAUCCCCAAGUUAUGUGGGAAUUCUGUCUAUAUCCCCUACGAGAUUGUGAUUGAGAGGUGGGACUAACUGCGCCUUACUCACUAUGGGGUUCACUCUACCGUUAUAUUCAACUGGCUCCCAAUUUCCUUGAUAAAAGAUUUUUGAAAUGCACUGGAUUUUUUUCAUUAACCUAUUGCUUACUUGGAAGUGAGAGUUCCUUACAAUCUCAUUUGUCCAUUAGGUUAUCUAAAUCCACAAGGCUUCUCUGACAGCAGCAAGCCAUGGCUUUCCACUUUCAGUAAAACUCAUAGGAAAAAAAAAAAAAAAACUUGCUACCAGAUGCAUGGAACUAUUCCAGGAACAAUGAAACAAGAUUUGAUAUGUAUCUCCAAACCAAAACAAGCUUAGAGUUUAAAUAUUUCAGGUAAAUCUACUUUUUCUACUUAAAUUACCCAAAUUAUCACAUCAAAUGUUCACUUAUA